Molecule: non-coding RNA, 148 nt
Organism: Homo sapiens (human)
Lineage: Eukaryota; Metazoa; Chordata; Mammalia; Primates; Hominidae
Rfam family: Metazoan signal recognition particle RNA
About the family: The signal recognition particle (SRP) is a universally conserved ribonucleoprotein. It is involved in the co-translational targeting of proteins to membranes.
Source: Rfam
GCUGGGCGUGGUGGUGCACGCCUGUAAUCUCAGCUACUCAGGAGGCAGAGGCAGGAGAAUCGCUUGAACCCGGGAGGUGGAGGUUGCAGUGAGCCGAGAUCGUGUCACUGCCCUUCAGCCUGGGCGACAGAGCGAGACUCUGUCUCAA